ACUCCUACGGGAGGCAGCAGUGGGGAAUAUUGGACAAUGGGCGAAAGCCUGAUCCAGCAAUGCCGCGUGUGUGAAGAAGGCCUGAGGGUUGUAAAGCACUUUCAAUUGUGAGGAAAGGUUUGAAGUUAAUACCUUCGAAUUCUGACGUUAACUUUAGAAGAAGGACCGGCUAACUCCGUGCCAGCAGCCGCGGUAAUACGGAGGGUCCAAGCGUUAAUCGGAAUUACUGGGCGUAAAGCGCGCGUAGGUGGCUUGUUAAGUCAGAUGUGAAAGCCCCGGCUGAACCUGGAACUGCAUUUGAUACUGGCAAGCUAGAGUAUAGUAGAGGCAAGUGGAAUUUCC
This 342-nucleotide ribosomal RNA is filed under the name uncultured bacterium. Its description in RNAcentral is "bacterial SSU rRNA". It matches the Rfam family "Bacterial small subunit ribosomal RNA", at positions 335 to 671 of the family's 1533-position model. The record is from RNAcentral.